Molecule: ribosomal RNA, 513 nt
Filed under: uncultured bacterium
Lineage: Bacteria
Description: partial 16S ribosomal RNA
Rfam family: Bacterial small subunit ribosomal RNA
Source: RNAcentral
GACGAACGCUGGCGGCGUGCUUAACACAUGCAAGUCGAACGAAAAGAGGGAAAGAGCUUGCUCUUUCCGGAAUUGAGUUGCAAACGGGUGAGUAACACGUAAACAAACUGCCUUCAGGAUGGGGACAACAGACGGAAACGACUGCUAAUACCGAAUAAGUUCCAAGGGCCGCAUGGCCCAUGGAAGAAAAGGUGGCCUCUAACUGUAAGCUAACGCCUGAAGCGGGGUUUGCGUCUGAUUAGCUGGUUGGAGGGGUAACGGCCCACCAAGGCGACGAUCAGUAGCCGGUCUGAGAGGAUGAACGGCCACACUGGAAUUGAGACACGGUCCAGACUCCUACGGGAGGCAGCAGUGGGGAAUCUUCCGCAAUGGGCGAAAGCCUGACGGAGCAACGCCGCGUGAGUGAUGACGGCCUUCGGGUUGUAAAACUCUGUGAUCCGGGACGAAAAGGCAGAGUGCGAAGAACAAACUGCAUUGACGGUACCGGAAAAGCAAGCCACGGCUAACUACGUG